RNAcentral lists this transfer RNA (77 nucleotides) under Planctomycetota bacterium. Its description in RNAcentral is "tRNA-Met". It matches the Rfam family "tRNA". From Rfam's summary of the family: Transfer RNA (tRNA) molecules are approximately 80 nucleotides in length. RNAcentral also lists the same sequence under 1 other name. Lineage: Bacteria; Pseudomonadati; Planctomycetota. The record is from RNAcentral.
AGCGGUGUAGCUCAGUUGGUUAGAGCAACGGCUUCAUAAGCCGUGUGUCGUCGGUUCGAGUCCGACCACCGCUACCA